RNAcentral lists this ribosomal RNA (460 nucleotides) under uncultured bacterium. RNAcentral's name for it is "partial 16S ribosomal RNA". It matches the Rfam family "Bacterial small subunit ribosomal RNA", at positions 338 to 795 of the family's 1533-position model. The record is from RNAcentral.
CCUACGGGGGGCAGCAGUGAGGAAUAUUGGUCAAUGGCCGUAAGGCUGAACCAGCCAAGUAGCGUGAGGGAAGACUGCCCUAUGGGUUGUAAACCUCUUUUAUGCGGGGAUAAAGGUGUCCACGUGUGGAUGUUUGCAGGUACCGCAUGAAUAAGGACCGGCUAAUUCCGUGCCAGCAGCCGCGGUAAUACGGAAGGUCCGGGCGUUAUCCGGAUUUAUUGGGUUUAAAGGGAGCGUAGGCCGGUCUUUAAGCGUGCCGUGAAAUUUUGGGGCUCAACCAUGAGAUUGCGGCGCGUACUGGGGACCUUGAGUGCACGGAAGGCAGGCGGAAUUCGUGGUGUAGCGGUGAAAUGCUUAGAUAUCACGAAGAACCCCGAUUGCGAAGGCAGCCUGCUACAGCGUUACUGACGCUGAAGCUCGAAAGCGCGGGUAUCGAACAGGAUUAGAUACCCGUGUAGUC